AGUGAACGCUGGCGGUAGGCCUAACACAUGCAAGUCGAACGGCAGCACAGUAAGAGCUUGCUCUUACGGGUGGCGAGUGGCGGACGGGUGAGGAAUACAUCGGAAUCUACUUUUUCGUGGGGGAUAACGUAGGGAAACUUACGCUAAUACCGCAUACGACCUACGGGUGAAAGCAGGGGAUCUUCGGACCUUGCGCGAUUGAAUGGGCCGAUGUCGGAUUAGCUAGUUGGCGGGGUAAAGGCCCACCAAGGCGACGAUCCGUAGCUGGUCUGAGAGGAUGAGCAGCCACACUGGAAGUGAGACACGGUCCAGACUCCAACGGGAGGCAGCAGUGAGGAAUAUUGGACAAUGGGCGCAAGCCUGAUCCAGCCAUACCGCGUGGGUGCAGAAGGCCUUCGGGUUGUAAAGCCCUUUUGUUGGGAAAGAAAAGCAGCAGGUUAAUACCCCGCUGUUCUGACGGUACCCAAAGAAUAAGCACCGGCUAACUUCGUG
Molecule: ribosomal RNA, 492 nt
Filed under: uncultured bacterium
Lineage: Bacteria
Description: partial 16S ribosomal RNA
Rfam family: Bacterial small subunit ribosomal RNA
Source: RNAcentral